RNAcentral lists this transfer RNA (83 nucleotides) under Arthrobacter sp. PAMC 25486. Its description in RNAcentral is "tRNA-Leu (GAG) (tRNA-Leu-GAG-1-1)". It matches the Rfam family "tRNA". From Rfam's summary of the family: Transfer RNA (tRNA) molecules are approximately 80 nucleotides in length. Their secondary structure includes four short double-helical elements and three loops (D, anti-codon, and T loops). The record is from Rfam by way of RNAcentral. Lineage: Bacteria; Bacillati; Actinomycetota; Actinomycetes; Micrococcales; Micrococcaceae.
GCGCGGGUGGCGGAAUGGCAGACGCGCUAGCUUGAGGUGCUAGUCCCGGAAACGGGGUGGGGGUUCAAGUCCCCCUCCGCGCA